Nicotiana tabacum (common tobacco) is the source of this 1891-nucleotide non-coding RNA. Lineage: Eukaryota; Viridiplantae; Streptophyta; Magnoliopsida; Solanales; Solanaceae. The record is from RefSeq and is a predicted model, not a curated record.
UCCCCUUUUCCCAGUAAUUAAACCCGCCCACCUUCAGUAUACUCUUCGAUACAUCCAAAGUCCAAAGAUCAGUACUACUAUUGGAUACAUCCAGCAAAACCAAAUCUCUUUCUUUUAGCCUCUCAAAGAUUCAUUCCUCCAAAGUCUUCUCUUUCACUCCUAAAAUCCAAAUCUAGAAACCUAUGAUCUUUCUACUUCUAGUGUCUUUCAACUCCUUAUAGAUUCAUUUCAAGGACAGUUGCUGACCUUCCCCAAAUCCCCAAAUUCCAAAAUUAAUUUAACAGUGAAUUCUUCAAUUUUAGGUUUAAUGUGUCGUCUUCUGCUGGUGUUUUAAGUGAUAUUGGUAUUGUUGAUAUUCCUUCGUCUUUGAAUUGGAGAAAGAAAAGAGUUGUUACUACAGUCAAAAAGGCAAUUGUGGUCUAUUUUCAGGUUUCUUCAGUAAAAAUUCUGCAUCACAGGGAGUACAUGAACGAUCUGAUGAUUCUACCACUCAUGAAGUAGCUGAACAAAUUGAGGAACAAGGCAUAUAUAUAUAAAUUGUAAUCAUAAACUUAACUAAAAAUAGUGAUUAAUGAUUAUCUUUGUUUUGUACUAUUGCGGGCCCCUCCUCGCCAAAAAGAAAAAAAGGUGGUACUCAAAUGCCAAGUGUUCAUGGUAGAAAGGAGCGUAAAAUAAUCUUUCUAAAUGAGUAUAAUCAACCUGUUAUUCCUACUAAAGAGGUUGUAAAAGAGUUGGGUAGCUUCCUCGGCACAUUGGCAAGGAGUGAGACUUUUUACCCUCUUAAUGUAUUUAAUUGGAGGAAACUAGACACAAAAGAUGAUAUGUGGAAAUAUAUCAAGGAAAAAUAUGACAUUCCUGACGAGGCGAAACAAUGGGUUUUUGAAUCAGUUUGUAGUGCUUGGAGAAAGUAUAAGAGUCAAUUGAAGGCAACCCACUUCACAACCUAUGAGAAUGAUGAGCUUCGAAUGGAGGAUAGGCCAAUAGAUGUUCCAGAAUCUCACUUUAAGGAUCUUCUUAAAUAUUGGAACUCCGAUCCACACAAGGAAAUGUCCGAAACUAAUACAGAGAAUCGAAGUAAGUUGAAGUGUCCACACACUGCUGGCAGAACACCUUUGCUCUAAUUCACGAGGAAAAAAAGAAGGAAGUCUCUAAUACUUUAGAUACUCUGUCAAGUAAGGACAUCUUUGUGGCUACAAGAAAAAGAAAACUUGGCCGAGUAUACAAAAGCUCAUAUGACAAUACGAUUAGUAAAAUUGCUAAAAUGGAGAGAAUACAAUCAACUCAGGAAAGUGAAGAUGGCAGUCAUUCAGUUGAUGCUUUUGCUUCAGUCAUGGGACAUGAACAUCCAGGUCGCAUGAGAUUAUAUGGACGAAGACUUUGUUAAAAGGGCAAAAAGGGAAUCUUGGAUCUUCUUUAGAUGCUGAUGAGAGGAUGCAGCAGAAAAUAGAGGAAAUGAAAGAGAGGAUGCAACAAAGAAUGCAUGAAAAGUUGAACGAACAAAAGGAUGCUAUGGAACAAAAUAUUACAAUGAUCGUCAUCGCACGACUUUAGCGUUUGAAUCUAGAUUUGCGACUUGAUCCUGACAUGUUAAGGCUUAGUGCACGUUCACCUGUGGAUGCUUCCUCUGCACAACAAGCUGUUGUUCAACUAAACAGUCGACCAUCUGCUGGUAGUAACAAUCAAGGUGGAGUAGAUCAAGAAAUGGACGAUGAAGAACUAGACCUUACUUGAGAUGAAUUUUGAAUUGUUAUCGAUGAAUGUUCUAGGAAUCUUUUGUUACCAAUAUUUUUUGAAAUUUAUUUACACUCUUGAAAUGUACUAAACUUAUGCACUCAUGAGGUAGAACAUUUGCUUUAUGGAUAUUAUUUGCUUGAUGGAUAAUUUUGUAUUA